UAUAAUGCAGUCGAGCGGACAGAUGGGAGCUUGCUCCCUGAUGUUAGCGGCGGACGGGUGAGUAACACGUGGGUAACCUGCCUGUAAGACUGGGAUAACUCCGGGAAACCGGGGCUAAUACCGGAUGGUUGUUUGAACCGCAUGGUUCAGACAUAAAAGGUGGCUUCGGCUACCACUUACAGAUGGACCCGCGGCGCAUUAGCUAGUUGGUGAGGUAACGGCUCACCAAGGCGACGAUGCGUAGCCGACCUGAGAGGGUGAUCGGCCACACUGGGACUGAGACACGGCCCAGACUCCUACGGGAGGCAGCAGUAGGGAAUCUUCCGCAAUGGACGAAAGUCUGACGGAGCAACGCCGCGUGAGUGAUGAAGGUUUUCGGAUCGUAAAGCUCUGUUGUUAGGGAAGAACAAGUGCCGUUCAAAUAGGGCGGCACCUUGUCGGUACCUAACCAGAAAGCCACGGCUAACUACGUGCCAGCAGCCGCGGUAAUACGUAGGUGGCAAGCG
RNAcentral lists this ribosomal RNA (506 nucleotides) under Bacillus tequilensis. Its description in RNAcentral is "bacterial SSU rRNA". It matches the Rfam family "Bacterial small subunit ribosomal RNA", at positions 52 to 540 of the family's 1533-position model. The record is from RNAcentral. Lineage: Bacteria; Bacillati; Bacillota; Bacilli; Caryophanales; Bacillaceae.